Molecule: ribosomal RNA, 506 nt
Filed under: uncultured bacterium
Lineage: Bacteria
Description: bacterial SSU rRNA
Rfam family: Bacterial small subunit ribosomal RNA
Source: RNAcentral
GAACGCUGGCGGCGUGCCUAAUACAUGCAAGUCGAGCGAACAGAUAAGGAGCUUGCUCCUUUGACGUUAGCGGCGGACGGGUGAGUAACACGUGGGUAACCUACCUAUAAGACUGGAAUAACUCCGGGAAACCGGGGCUAAUGCCGGAUAAUAUUUAGAACCGCAUGGUUCUAAAGUGAAAGAUGGUUUUACUAUCACUUAUAGAUGGACCCGCGCCGUAUUAGCUAGUUGGUGGGGUAAUGGCUUACCAAGGCAACGAUACGUAGCCGACCUGAGAGGGUGAUCGGCCACACUGGAACUGAGACACGGUCCAGACUCCUACGGGAGGCAGCAGUAGGGAAUCUUCCGCAAUGGGCGAAAGCCUGACGGAGCAACGCCGCGUGAGUGAUGAAGGUCUUCGGAUCGUAAAACUCUGUUAUUAGGGAAGAACAAAUGUGUAAGUAACUGUGCACGUCUUGACGGUACCUAAUCAGAAAGCCACGGCUAACUACGUGCCAGCAGCCGCG